GGGCCAGCGCCGCGGUAAUACCGGCAGCCCGAGUGAUGACCGAUCUUAUUGGGCCUAAAGCGUCCGUAGCUGGCUACGCAAGUCCGUCGGGAAAUCCACUCGCUCAACGAGUGGCCGUCCGGUGGAGACUCCACACCUUGGGACCGGAAGGCUCGAAGGGUACGGCCGGGGUAGGAGUGAAAUCCUGUAAUCCCGUCCGGACCACCGAUGGCGAAAGCACUUCGAGAAAACGGAUCCGACAGUGAGGGACGAAAGCUAAGAUCGCGAACCGGAUUAGAAACCCUGGUAGUCC
Molecule: ribosomal RNA, 292 nt
Filed under: uncultured bacterium
Lineage: Bacteria
Description: partial 16S ribosomal RNA
Rfam family: Archaeal small subunit ribosomal RNA
Source: RNAcentral